CAGUAGUGUUAACAGUCGGGAGCGGAGUGGCAUUAACACCAUCCUUCAUGAACUUAAUCCACUGUUCACCAUAAACGUGACGAUGAGGGACAUAAAAAGUAAAAAUGUCUACAGUAGAGUCAAUAGCAAGGCCACGACGCAAUGGAGAAAGACGGAGAGCGCCAACGGCGUCCAUCUCGAAGGAGUCGCCAGCGAUAACCGGAGUAGUUGAAA
This 213-nucleotide ribosomal RNA is filed under the name uncultured prokaryote. Its description in RNAcentral is "partial 16S ribosomal RNA". The record is from RNAcentral.